AGUGAACGCUGGCGGCAGGCCUAACACAUGCAAGUCGAACGGCAGCACAGUAAGCGCUUGCCCUUAAGGGUGGCGACUGGCGGACGGGUGAGGAAUAGAUCAGCAUCUACUUUUUCGUGGGGAACAACGUAGGGAAACUUACGCUAAUACCGCAUACGAUCUACCGGUGAAAUCAAUGGUUCUACGGACCUUGCGCGAUUCAAUUAGAUGAUGUCGGAUUAGCUAGGUGGCUGGGUAAAGGCCCACCAAGGCGACGAUCCGUAGCUGGUCUGAGAGGAUGAUCGGCCACACUGGAACUGAGACACGGUCCAGACUCCUACGGGAGGCAGCAGUGGGGAAUCUUGGGCAAUGGGCGCAAGCCUGACCCAGCAAUGCCGCGUGGGUGAAGAAGGUCUUCGGGUUGUAAAGCCCUUUUGUUGGGAAAGAAAAGCAGUAGAUUAAUACCCCGCUGUUCUGACGGUACCCAAAGAAAAAGCACCGGCUAACUUCGUG
Molecule: ribosomal RNA, 492 nt
Filed under: uncultured bacterium
Lineage: Bacteria
Description: partial 16S ribosomal RNA
Rfam family: Bacterial small subunit ribosomal RNA
Source: RNAcentral